GAUGAACGCUAGCGGGAGGCCUAACACAUGCAAGCCGAGCGGUAUUUGUUCUUCGGAACAGAGAGAGCGGCGCACGGGUGCGGAACACGUGUGCAACCUGCCUUUAUCUGGGGGAUAGCCUUUCGAAAGGAAGAUUAAUACCCCAUAAUAUAUUGAGUGGCAUCACUUGAUAUUGAAAACUCCGGUGGAUAGAGAUGGGCACGCGCAAGAUUAGAUAGUUGGUGAGGUAACGGCUCACCAAGUCAAUGAUCUUUAGGGGGCCUGAGAGGGUGAUCCCCCACACUGGUACUGCGACACGGACCAGACUCCUACGGGAGGCAGCAGUGAGGAAUAUUGGACAAUGGGUUAGCGCCUGAUCCAGCCAUCCCGCGUGAAGGACGACGGCCCUAUGGGUUGUAAACUUCUUUUGUAUAGGGAUAAACCUACUCUCGUGAGAGUAGCUGAAGGUACUAUACGAAUAAGCACCGGCUAACUCCGUG
RNAcentral lists this ribosomal RNA (479 nucleotides) under uncultured bacterium. RNAcentral's name for it is "partial 16S ribosomal RNA". It matches the Rfam family "Bacterial small subunit ribosomal RNA", at positions 28 to 507 of the family's 1533-position model. The record is from RNAcentral.